UAGCAGUAGCUAACUUGCAUCUAAAACAAAACCCAAGUUCAUCCUGGUGGCUGCUAGAUGUAUUUAUACAUGGGCAACAGCAAGGAGGCGUGGGAGGGUGUAAACCCUAAGCUGGAAAGGGCCCCUAGUGGGCUGCACGAGAUAUAAGGGUUUCAGCCCAAGACUGGAAGGCCGAACGUCUCUUUAUCAAUUCUGCUCAGCUCCGGUGGAAUUUCGUCAUGAGGUUGGAUCCAUCUGAAAGUGAACUUUAAGAUCUUUCCAAUGAGUACUCAUAUGCCUCAAACAACAUCCGGAGUUGAGAAAUAUUGCCACGUCAAUUUGAUGUUGCCUGACUGUACGAACUUGAAGUCUAAACUUGAUGUCCGAUCUUGUGCUUUCUUAUUGUGUGAUCUUGAUGCCCAAACUGAUUGGUUGAUCCAUUAGGCUCCUCUCCAUCAUUCCUAAUAAUAAUAAAAUCAUCACAAUGACUUAGUAGCAUCCAAUUCUAAGAUGAGGGUUCAUGGACAGCGAGGAAUGAGUUAACCUGAUAAUUUAGCUCUCGUGCACGGGCUCUUGUCAUUGGUCCUUGCUGCAUAGUAGUCGUGGUUGUAUCAUUGGAAGGGAUGUCCUCAUCAUCCUCCCCUUCUUGCAUGUGAGUCGUCCUCGACUCAAGUUCAUCUUCCUCGCCCAAAUAUGGUUUCAAAUCUGCAAUGUUAAAUGUGGGGCUGACCCCAAAAUCUGUAGGCAACUCAAGUUUGUAGGCAUUAUCAUUGAUCUUAGCUACAACUUUAAAAGGACCAGCAACUCUCGGAAGCAACUUUGACUUUCUCAAAUCAGGAAACCGAUCCUUUCUCAAGUGCAGCCAAACCAAAUCACCCGGUUUGAAAGUAACAUGCUUCUUUCCUAAGCUACCAGCAAGUUUAUAUUUAGCAUUCAUGUUCUCAAUGUUCUCUUUUGUGGUCUCAUGUAUUUUUAACAUCAACUCAGCACGUUGUUUAGCAUCAAAAUUCAAUCUCUCAGAAGUUGGUAAAGGCAGCAAAUCAAUAGGGGCACGAGGCACAAAACCAUAAACAAUCUCAAAAGGGCUCUUUUUAGUAGUAGAGUGUUGUGAACGAUUGUAAGCAAACUCAACAUGAGGCAAACAUUCUUCCCACAAUUUUAUGUUCUUUUUCAAAACUGCCCUAAGCAUGGUAGAUAAAGUUCUAUUCACAACCUCGGUUUGUCCAUCAGUUUGGGGAUGACAAGUAGUGGAAAAAAGCAACUUAGUACCCAAUUUAGCCCACAAAGUUCUCCAAAAAUGACUAAGAAAUUUUGCAUCACGAUCUGAAACAAUUGUGUUUGGUACACCAUGCAAACGAACAAUCUCACGAAAGAACAAUUCAGCAACAUGAGUAGCGUCAUCGGUCUUAUGACAUGGUAUAAAAUGUGCCAUCUUAGAAAAUCUAUCCACAACCACAAAGACACUAUCCCUCCCCUUCUUUGUUCUAGGCAGUCCUAAAACGAAAUCCAUAGAAAUAUCCUCCCAUGGUGCAUUAGGAACAGUUAGAGGCAUGUACAAUCCAUGAGGAUUAAGGCGUGACUUAGCUUUUUGGCAUGUUGCGCAGCGAGCAAUGAAUCUCUCCACAUCCCUCCUCAUCUUGGGCCAAAAGAAAUGAUCAGCAAGGAUGCUUUCCGUCUUCUUUGCACCAAAGUGUCCCAUCAGCCCUCCUCCAUGCGCCUCCUGCAAUAAUAACAUACGCACGGAGCUAGCUGGAAUGCAUAGCUUGUUAGCUCGAAAUACAAAUUCGUCAUUGAGGACGAAUUUGUUCCAUGUCUUUCCCUCCUUGCAAUUCAGCAACACAUCUUUAAAAUCACCAUCAUGGGCAUAUCGCUCUUUUAUUGUUUCCAAGCCAAAAAUUUUGAAAUCAAGUUGUGAAAGCAUGGUAUAACGUCUAGACAAAGCAUCAGCAAUUACAUUUUCCUUCCCUUUCUUGUGUUUGAUGACAUAAGGAAAGGACUCAAUGAAUUCAACCCAGCGAGCAUGCCUACGGUUCAGUUUUGCUUGACUUCGAAUAUGCUUCAAUGAUUCAUGAUCAGAAUGUAUAACAAACUCUUUGGGCCAUAAAUAAUGCUGCCAUGUUUCUAAAGUCCGAACUAGAGCAAGCAAUUCUUUAUCAUAAGUAGAAUAGUUCAAACUAGGCCCACUCAACUUCUCGCUGAAAUAUGCUACAGGUUUUCCUUCUUGUAACAAAACACCUCCCAAACCAAUUCCACUAGCAUCACAUUCAAGUUCAAAAGUUUUAGUGAAAUCAGGGAGUUGGAGUAAAGGGGCAUGGGUUAACUUAUCUUUCAAUGUGUCAAAAGCACUCUUGUGUGCUGCAGCCCAAGUGAAUGUAACGCCCUUCUUGGUGAGUUCGUGCAAUGGGGCUGCAAUGGUGCUGAAAUCCCUCACAAAACGGCGAUAAAAUCCAGCAAGCCCGAGAAAGCUUCUCACUUGUGUGACCGUUGUGGGAACCGGCCAGCUAUGUAUUGCUUCAACCUUGGCUUGAUCAACUUCAAUUCCGUGUGGGGUCACAACAUAGCCAAGAAAAGAGACUCGAUCCGUGCAAAAGGUGCACUUCUCAAGGUUACCAAACAAACGUGCAUCACGUAGAGCAUUAAAAACAUCACGCAAAUGAUCAAGAUGUUCCUCAAGUGAUCUACUGUAUAUCAAGAUGUCAUCAAAAUAUACCACAACAAAUCUGCAAAUGAAAGCGCGUAAAACUUCAUUCAUUAGUCUCAUGAAAGUGUUGGGUGCAUUAGUGAGACCAAAAGGCAUAACUAACCACUUGUAUAGACCGAAUUUAGUUUUAAACGCUGUUUUCCAUUCAUCUCCUAGCUUCAUGUGAAUCUGGUGGUAACCACUACGCAAAUCAAUUUUUGAGAACACAAUGGAGCCACUUAAUUCAUCAAGCAUAUCAUCUAGCCUAGGAAUAGGAUGACGAUAUCUGAUUGUAAUGUUAUUAAUCGCUCGGCAAUCUACACACAUGUGCCAUGAUCCAUCUUUCUUAGGAACCAAAAGAACAGGAACAGUGCAAGGGCUAAGAGACUCACGCACAUAACCUUUAUCGAGCAAUUCUUGCACUUGGCGCUGAAUCUCUUUAGUUCCUCGGGGUUGGUCCUGUAUGGCGCACGGUUGGGCAAUGAGGCUCCGGGAAUAAGGUCAAUCUGGUGCUCAAUCCCACGGGUUGGUGGCAGCCCUGGUGGCACCUCAUUUGGAAAAAUGUCCGUAUACUCCUGCAAAAGGUUAGUAACUGCAUGAGGCAAAGAAGAAGGUAUCUCCUGAAGUGAAAACAAAGUUUGUUUGCAAAUCAAAGCAUAGCAAACAGCAGUAUUAGCAUCAAUCUCAUCCAAAUCAGAUUUGGUUGCAAUGAAACAUGACCCUUUCAGCUUGAUCUCAUUUUUAUUAUUGUGGGCAGAUUUAGUGUUCUUCUUUGUGUGCUUUUUAAGUUCAUGUGCUACAAUCUGAUUUUCACUCUUAGCAUGCUCCUAAUUCAUUAGUUUACUAGCUCUAGCAAGUUCAUCUUUCAAAAUAGCUUCAGGAGACAUUGGAUGCAAAACAAGUUUCUUGUCAUUAUGCAUAAAAGAGUAUUGAUUUGUUUUACCAUGAUGCAAAGAAUCAAUGUCAAAUUGCCAUGGUCGUCCUAACAACAUAGAGCAUGCUUGCAUGGGUACAACAUCACAGUCAAUAGAAUCAUGAUAAGAACCAAUAGCAAAAUUAACUCUCACCAACCGUGUUACCUUCACCUUACCGCUGCUAUUUAGCCAUUGAAUGUAGUAAGGUUGUGGAUGUGGCUGGGUGCACAAUGCAAGCUUCUCCACCAUUUCAGCACUUGCCAAGUUGUUGCAGCUCCCUCCAUCAAUGAUGACUCGGCAAGAACGCUCCUUGAUCACACACUUGGUUUGAAACAAAGUGUGGCGCUGAUUUUGUUCAGCCUUCUCCAUUUGUGCACUCAACACUCGCUGCACCACAAGGCUCUCAUAGUUUUCAGCAUGUUCCGUUCCAAUGUGCUCCUCAUUUUUGUUGUGCUCCUCAUCUUCCCCUACAUUGUUAGCUGCAAGCAAAGCAUAUGUUUCUUCAUCUAAAUCACUAGCAGAGGAAUACUCACCAUUAGGACGCACAACUAGCACGCGUGCGCUUGGGCAGUCCUUGCGCACAUGACCGUAACCUUUGCAGCGGAGGCAUUGAAUGUCUCUGAUUCGCCCUGAGGAUGCAAUUGAGGAUGAACUCUUGGUUGGUGCAGCAGCUGCCCCCUUUGUGGGUUCAGGAGGGCAUGGUGAGGAGUUCGUUAUCAAAGGUCGUGGUUUGCUACUUGAUGAAGAUGGGGCAGCGACUCGGUACAGUUGGGCAGCGGGGUUGGAUGGCGUCCAAGAGGUAGCACGACCUGCAGAAAUGUUAGUUCUCGUGCUAGCUCUCCGUCCCUGUACUUCCCUUUCAGCUUUACAAGCAAGAUGAAAUAAACGAGUGAUCGAAUUGUAUUCUUUGUAAGCCAAAAUAUCCUGAAUUUCCCGAUUCAGCCCACCCAUAAACCUAGCCAUAGCUGCAUCCUCAUUUUCUACCAAACCACAACGAAGCAUCCCUGUUUGCAACUCUUGAUAGUACUCUUCUACAGAUUUAUUUCCCUGUCUCAAAAGCUGAAGCUUAUGCAAAAGAUCACGUGCAUGAUAAGAGGGAACAAAUCUAGCUCGCAUAACUCUUUUCAUAGCAUCCCAAGUUUGUGGAGUGUUGUUUGGGUGGCUGCGCACAUAUUCGCUCCACCAAAUAGAAGCAAAAUCAGUAAACUCACUAGUAGCAGCCCUAAUAUGUUUGUUUUUAGGAAAAUCAUGACAUGCAAAUUUUUGAUCAACAGCUAGCUCCCAAGUGAGAUAUGCAUUGGGGUCAUAUUUUCCAUCAAAAGAGGGCAUGCUAAAUUUAAUCUUCCCUAAAGAAUCAUCAUUGUCGCGUACCUCACGUCGUGGUUGACGAGCAUGUCCACCAUGUCGACGGCGGCGCUGCUGCUGGUUAUGUUGGCCAUUUACCUCCCCAUCAAGCUCCGUGUCAGCUGAAUAUUCUUCCUCAUCUUGCCCAGCAAUGCUACCCUCAGUGUUGUUGUUGUUGCGCCGUCCUGAACCAUCACGACCCUCCUGGUCCAUCCUAUCCAAACGUGCCAAAAUACCUACAAGAGAGGUGUUAAGAGCCCCAAGCGUGUUCGCCAUUGAGGUCAGCUUGGUGUUGGUGUCGAUCUGCGUGGCCUCCAAUUGGCCAAGGCGUUCGUUGGUAACUCGAACAUCCUCAUCAAGGUGUUCAGCAUGCACCCUUACUUGGCGUUCAAAGUGUUGAAUGAUGCCCCUUGUUCGAGGUGAAUGAACUUGUCCAUCAUCCUCAUUUUCUGCCAUGGUUAGACAAGGGAAAAAAUGUCCUACCAACUAGUGGAACUAGGUGACAGCAAACUCCAUUCUCUCAAUCUUGUUCCAUCAAGUUCUUACAUGUUCUUACCACGCUAGGAAGUUGGUGUUGGCAGCCGGCAAGAACAGCACAAAAUGUUACACAAGCACAGCCCUGUGACAAAGUAGAUAAUUUGUGGAGCUAUAGGUCGCUGCAAGAAAAAAAAAUCAAGGAAUAGCUAGAACCACGUUAGCCAAAGCAAGUUGAAUAAAUGUUCACAAUGGUACUGUGCUGGUCCUAGGCUAAACCAUAUUAGAGACGUGAGCCUAGACACAAACGUAAUCACCCAACAGCGGCAAACAAGGCAUACAAAGAGAGUAAUGCAGCAACAAGAACUCUUUUUCUUCCUUUCUUCUUUUCCUUCUUGUUUCUUCCUCUUUUUUUUUCUUUUUUUUUCUUUUCUUUUUAGAGGCCUCAAAUGUUAUGUUUGGCACAAAGAAACAAAACAAUUACUUCACAUAGCCCUCCUUGCUUUUAGAUGCACAGAUUACACAGCAGAUAUGCGGAAAUCUCCAUAGCGUUUGCAAGGCGCUCAGAAAGAAUUUGGUGGCAAGGUUAAUUUUCUCUGAAAGAGCACAAAGUAACCUUUCUAGAAUGUAUCUAAACACUUGAAUCGGAGAUCGGAUGCAAGAAAUAGAGCUGAUUUCUUCUCGUGCAGAUCUGGAAGUGGGGAUUGCGAAAAUAGUGGGCAAAUGCAGCAGCGUGAAAAGGUGGGGGGAAAGUGGCAGCGAAUCUAAUGGUGAUAAAAACGUGAUAAGAACUCAAAACUCUAAUGGAUUAGAACUUAAGAACCAGCACUUGACACCAUGAUGCAACCACAAACUCAACAAGCCAAGAACUAGGUAGAACAACAAGGGCUCCAACUAGUUUUGUUUUUGGGAUUUCAGAUCUAGCCUAUCUAUCUUUUUGGGUAUUUUUGGACUGUAGGUAAAGUAAAGAAUAGGUAGUUACUCUCACCGAUUAACCUUGCUCUGAUUACCACAUGAUAUGGCAGGGGCUGUUCCCAAUCUUUCGAUGAGAGGAGGGGUAACUUCGAUUUGGGGGUGGAAUCAACGUUGGCUGUCCGACUACAACAAUCACAGGAUGCUGCGCCUUAGCAACAGGUACACCGAUUCCGACGUUGGCUAUUCUUGCCGGGCCAAGAACACCCUUGAACCUGCUAGCAAUCGAGAACAAGCAAGAACAAGAUGAACAAGCAAAUAAACCCACGGAUCUGAAACAAAUGAAACCUGAAUCACGAGUUGGGGUCUUGAAUUAAGCAAAUCGGGUGGUCUAGUCGACACACGCGUUCACUAGAAAGUAGCAGUAGCUAACUUGCAUCUAAAACAAAACCCAAGUUCAUCCUGGUGGCUACUAGAUGUAUUUAUACAUGGGCAACAGCAAGGAGGCGUGGUAGGGUGUAAACCCUAAGCUGGAAAGGGCCCCUAGUGGGCUGCACGAGAUAUAAGGGUUUCAGCCCAAGACUGGAAGGCCGAACGUCUCUUUGUCAAUUCUGCUCAGCUCCGGUGGAAUUUCAUCAUGAGGUUGGAUCCAUCUGAAAGUGAACUUUAAGAUCUUUCCAAUGAGUACUCAUAUGCCUCAAACAACAUCCGGAGUUGAGAAAUAUUGCCACGUCAAUUUGAU
RNAcentral lists this long non-coding RNA (7045 nucleotides) under Setaria italica (foxtail millet). RNAcentral's name for it is "long non-coding RNA (SITA_LNC001124)". The record is from RNAcentral. Lineage: Eukaryota; Viridiplantae; Streptophyta; Magnoliopsida; Poales; Poaceae.